GAUGAACGCUGGCGGCGUGCCUAAUACAUGCAAGUCGAGCGAACAGAUGAGGAGCUUGCUCCUCUGACGUUAGCGGCGGACGGGUGAGAACACGUGGAUAACCUACCUAUAAGACUGGGAUAACUUCGGGAAACCGGAGCUAAUACCGGAUAAUAUAUUGAACCGCAUGGUUCAAUAGUGAAAGACGGUUUUGCUGUCACUUAUAGAUGGAUCCGCGCCGCAUUAGCUAGUUGGUAAGGUAACGGCUUACCAAGGCAACGAUGCGUAGCCGACCUGAGAGGGGGAUCGGCCACACUGGAACUGAGACACGGUCCAGACUCCUACGGGAGGCAGCAGUAGGGAAUCUUCCGCAAUGGGCGAAAGCCUGACGGAGCAACGCCGCGUGAGUGAUGAAGGUCUUCGGAUCGUAAAACUCUGUUAUUAGGGAAGAACAAAUGUGUAAGUAACUAUGCACGUCUUGACGGUACCUAAUCAGAAAGCCACGGCUAACUACGUG
This 496-nucleotide ribosomal RNA is filed under the name uncultured bacterium. RNAcentral describes it as "partial 16S ribosomal RNA". It matches the Rfam family "Bacterial small subunit ribosomal RNA", at positions 28 to 507 of the family's 1533-position model. The record is from RNAcentral.